UCUCCACAGUCCAAGGUGAAGGCAAGGAUCCCAGUAUGGUGGUACACAUCUGCUAUCCCAGAAUUUAGGAUGCGGAGACAGGAUCAUCGUUUAAAGAUCUGCCUGGGCUACAUUAUGAUACCCUGGUUUCAAAGAAAAGACAAAAAACACCUUCUGAGGAAGAGCUGUGAGCUGCUGUUUUCCUAUCACCAUCAUUUGGGCUGUCUCCCUUUCCCUCUGCUCCUGCAGGAGACACAGAAACCUCCUGUGUAUAGAACAAGGCCUCCAUCCUGCAGGGCGUGUGCAAGCAAGUGUUAAAAAUGCUUGAAGUUGUCAUGUAUUAAACUGAGCUUAAAGCAUUUGGGCAAACUUUAUGACAGUUUCAGCCUUGGCAAAAACUUGUUUCAGUGGACUAACCUCAGCAAAUUGUGAGACUUAGUGUUAGAAGCCUUGCCCAAAGACUGCAGUGCAUCCUCAGUGCUCUGUGUGAAAUGACAAAGUCUAGACUUCAAACUGCCCUGUCGUCAUGGAGACACAGCAAGCAAGGUAAGUGCAUCCCCCACUACUUAAGGGUUUGUCCUUGUGGAGCAAGCACCAAGUUCCAGGUCCACGGGGAAGUCAGGCAGUGGCGGUGCAUGC
Molecule: long non-coding RNA, 618 nt
Organism: Microtus ochrogaster (prairie vole)
Lineage: Eukaryota; Metazoa; Chordata; Mammalia; Rodentia; Cricetidae
Exons: 3
Source: RefSeq, a predicted model, not a curated record